This 519-nucleotide ribosomal RNA is filed under the name uncultured bacterium. RNAcentral's name for it is "bacterial SSU rRNA". It matches the Rfam family "Bacterial small subunit ribosomal RNA", at positions 8 to 518 of the family's 1533-position model. The record is from RNAcentral.
AGAGUUUGAUCAUGGCUCAGGAUGAACGCUAGCGGCAGGCUUAACACAUGCAAGUCGAGGGGCAGCGGGGUGUAGCAAUACACUGCCGGCGACCGGCGCACGGGUGCGUAACGCGUAUGCAACCUACCCGUAACAGGGGUAUAACGGAGGGAAACUUCCACUAAUCCCCCAUAUUGUUGGAGAUUCGCAUGUUUCUCCAACGAAAGGUUUUUCUGGUUACGGAUGGGCAUGCGUGACAUUAGCUAGUUGGUGGGGCAACGGCCCACCAAGGCGACGAUGUCUAGGGGAGCUGAGAGGCUUAUCCCCCACACUGGUACUGGGACACGGACCAGACUCCUACGGGAGGCAGCAGUGAGGAAUAUUGGUCAAUGGAGGGAACUCUGAACCAGCCAUGCCCGCGUGGAGGAAGAAGGUCCUAUGGGUUGUAAACUCCUUUUGUUCCAGAGUAAUAAGGGCUUUGCGAAGUCCGAUGAGAGUAUGGGACGAAUAAGCAUCGGCUAACUCCGUGCCAGCCGCCGC